GAUGAACGCUGACCGAAUGCUUAACACAUGCAAGUCAACUGGAAUUUGGGUUUUUAACUUAGGAUUGGGUGGCGGACGGGUGAGUAACGCGUAAAGAACUUGCCUCACAGCUAGGGACAACAUUUGGAAACGAAUGCUAAUACCUAAUAUUAUGAUAAUAGGGCAUCCUAUAAUUAUGAAAGAUAUAAGCGCUGUGAGAGAGCUUUGCGUCCCAUCAGCUAGUUGGCGAGGUAACGACUCACCAAGGCGAUGAUGGGUAGCCGGCCUGAGAGGGUGAUCGGCCACAAGGGGUCUGAGACACGGCCCUUACGCAUACUGGAGGCAGCAGUGGGGAAUAUCGGACAAUGGACCGAGAGUCUGAUCCAGCAAUUCUGUGGUCACGAUGAAGUUUUUCGGAAUGUAAAGUGCUUUCAGUUGGGAAGAAACAAAUGACGGUACCAACAGAAGAAGUGACGGCUAAAUACGUG
RNAcentral lists this ribosomal RNA (467 nucleotides) under uncultured bacterium. RNAcentral describes it as "partial 16S ribosomal RNA". It matches the Rfam family "Bacterial small subunit ribosomal RNA", at positions 28 to 507 of the family's 1533-position model. The record is from RNAcentral.